This 69-nucleotide transfer RNA is filed under the name Bos taurus (domestic cattle). It matches the Rfam family "tRNA". From Rfam's summary of the family: Transfer RNA (tRNA) molecules are approximately 80 nucleotides in length. Their secondary structure includes four short double-helical elements and three loops (D, anti-codon, and T loops). Lineage: Eukaryota; Metazoa; Chordata; Mammalia; Artiodactyla; Bovidae. RNAcentral also lists the same sequence under 2 other names. The record is from Rfam by way of RNAcentral.
CCUGGUGGCUCAGAGGGUAAAGCAUCUGCCUGCAAUGCAGGAAGCCUGGGUUCAAUCCCUGGGUCAGGA